CAUCGAUAAAGGCAAACACCGAGUGAUCGGGGGACGCAAAGUAACAGGGUCUUUAAAACACUUUAUACGUAUGUGGUUGAAGUAUCCUAAAUUGAAAAAGUUCUAAUACCGUUUUAAAGAUAGCCUUACUGCCGAA
This is a non-coding RNA of Planctomycetes bacterium GWA2_39_15, 136 nucleotides long. NCBI's taxonomy places the organism in Bacteria, Pseudomonadati, Planctomycetota. The record is from Rfam.